Molecule: ribosomal RNA, 446 nt
Filed under: uncultured bacterium
Lineage: Bacteria
Description: partial 16S ribosomal RNA
Rfam family: Bacterial small subunit ribosomal RNA
Source: RNAcentral
CCUACGGGUGGCAGCAGUCGAGAAUCAUUCACAAUGGGGGAAACCCUGAUGGUGCGACGCCGCGUGGGGGAAUGAAGGUCUUCGGAUUGUAAACCCCUGUCAUGUGGGAGCAAAUUAAAAAGAUAGUACCACAAGAGGAAUAGACGGCUAACUCGGUGCCAGCAGCCGCGGUAAUACAGAGGUCUCAAGCGUUGUUCGGAAUCACUGGGCGUAAAGCGUGCGUAGGGUGUUUCGUAAGUCGUGUGUGAAAGGCGCGGGCUCAACCCGCGGAUGGCACAUGAUACUGGGAGACUAGAGUAAUGUAGGGGGAACCGGAAUUCUCGGUGUAGCAGUGAAAUGCGUAGAUAUCGAGAGGAACACUCGUGGCGAAGGCGGGUUACUGGACAUUAACUGACGCUGAGGCACGAAGGCCAGGGGAGCGAAAGGGAUUAGAUACCCCUGUAGUC